Long non-coding RNA from Salmo trutta (river trout), 2009 nucleotides. The record is from Ensembl. NCBI's taxonomy places the organism in Eukaryota, Metazoa, Chordata, Actinopteri, Salmoniformes, Salmonidae.
GAAGGCAGAUAGGAGCGAGGGGGAGAGUGGAGAGAGGAGCGAGGGGGAGAGGGCAGAGAGGAGCUAGGGGGAGAGGGGUGAGAGGAACUAGGGGGAGAGGGGAGAGAGGAGCUAGGGGGAGAGGGGAGAGAGGAGCGAGGGGGAGAAGGCAGAGAGGAGCGAGGGGGAGAGGGGUGAGAGGAACUAGGGGGAGAGGGGAGAGAGGAGCUAGGGGGAGAGGGGAGAGAGGAACUAGGGGGAGAGGGGAGAGAGCAACUAGGGGGAGAGGGGAGAGAGGAACUAGGGGGGAGAGGGGAGAGAGGAACUAGGGGGAGAGGGGAGAGAGGAACUAGGGGGAGAGGGGUAGGGGCUGGAACUCUGAACCACAGGUAUGAGCAGAUGUUAGAUGAAGGUGUGAUGUUUCUCUAUGUUUGUUGGUUGAGUUGUUCUUAGUCCUGAACCAAAAAAAAACAUUGAUACAACCUACUGAAUGGAACACAGAUGAAAUGUUGAUCUGAAAUGGCAGUGCAUUCCAAACUCUCCCUGUAGGUCCUAACCCUCUUCCUGUAGGUCCUUACCCUCUUCCUGUAGGUCCUUACCCUCUUCCUGUAGGUCCUUACCCUCUUCCUGUAGGUCCUUACCCUCUUCCUGUAGGUCCUUACCCUCUUCCUGUAGGUCCUUACCCUCUUCCUGUAGGUCCUAACCCUCUUCCUGUAGGUCCUUACCCUCUUCCUGUAGGUCCUUACCCUCUUCCUGUAGGUCCUUACCCUCUCCCUGUAGGUCCUUACCCUCUCCCUGUAGGUCCAUGUCCUUACCCUCUUCCUGUAGGUCCUUACCCUCUCCCUGUAGGUCCUUACCCUCUUCCUGUAGGUCCUAACCCUCUUCCUGUAGGUCCUUACCCUCUUCCUGUAGGUCCUUACCCUCUCCCUGUAGGUCCAUGUCCUUACCCUCUUCCUGUAGGUCCUUACCCUCUCCCUGUAGGUCCUUACCCUCUUCCUGUAGGUCCUUACCCUCUUCCUGUAGGUCCUUACCCUCUCCCUGUAGGUCCUUACCCUCUUCCUGUAGGUCCUUACCCUCUUCCUGUAGGUCCUUACCCUCUCCCUGUAGGUCCUAACCCUCUUCCUGUAGGUCCUAACCCUCUUCCUGUAGGUCCAUGUCCUUACCCUCUUCCUGUAGGUCCUUACCCUCUUCCUGUAGGUCCAUGUCCUUACCCUCUCCCUGUAGGUCCAUACCCUCUCCCUGUAGGUCCUUACCCUCUUCCUGUAGGUCCUUACCCUCUUCCUGUAGGUCCUUACCCUCUUCCUGUAGGUCCUUACCCUCUUCCUGUAGGUCCUUACCCUCUUCCUGUAGGUCCUUACCCUCUUCCUGUAGGUCCUAACCCUCUUCCUGUAGGUCCUUACCCUCUCCCUGUAGGUCCUUACCCUCUUCCUGACUGCCAUUUGUCAUCUUUCUGCAAUGUUGUAGUUCCUGUAUGAAACAGGAAAUGAAGACUUGGUUCAGUUUGAUUGAGCCCAUACAACAUUAUCCAAUAAUAUAUUCUGAUGCUGUAGUCUUGGUAACAGUAUCAUAUAGAAUGUUGGACCACUGUCUUCUUAACCUGAUAAUAUACCACAGUCAGUGUUUAUUGGUCAGAUAAACUUCUGAGAGUGUUUUACCUCAUCUGGACAUUCUGACCACCGUGCUGCAUAGACUACACAUUUUGUCUAUUGACUAGUGAGCUCCAGUAUUGAGUCUUAUUGGCUGAGUCAUUGACUAGUGAGCUCCGGUAUUGAGUCUUAUUGGCUGAGUCAUUGACUAGUGAGCUCCAGUAUUGAGUCUUAUUGGCUGAGUCAUUGACUAGUGAGCUCCAGUAUUGAGUCUUAUUGGCUGAAUCAUUGACUAGUGAGCUCCAGUAUUGAGUCUUAUUGGCUGAGUCAUUGACUAGUGAGCUCCAGCAUUGAGUCUUACUGGCUGAGUCAUUGACUAGUGAGCUCCGGUAUUGAGUCUUAUUGGCUGAGUCAUUGACUAGUGAGCUCCAGUAUUGAGUCUUU